AUGGACAUGAAUGUGUUCACCAAGAACCUGGACCAGGGGAUUGAACAGCUGAAUGAGUGCAAGCAGCUAACCGAGUCCCAGGUCAAGAGUCCCUGUGAGAAGACUAAAGAAAUCCUUACAAAAGAAUCCCAUUUAUAAGAGGUUCCAUGUACAGUCAUUUCUGUGGAGAUGUGCAUGAGCAAUUUCAGUCUCAUGGAACUGUUUAGAGUUGGUGGAAAAAUCACCAGAUACAAAUUACUUGUUUAUGUUGACAAAGGGUAUUAUUUACUUGAAACAGUCACACUGCUUGUAGUUCUGAAGGUACAUUACCAUGAAUGGUUCACCAUUCUUUGAGGAAAUCAUAAGAGCACACAAAUGUAUGAUUUCUAUGAUGAGUGUUUAGGGAAAUAUGGAAAUGCAAAUGUUUGGAAAUACUUUACAGAUCUUUUUGGCUCUUCAUCUUACUGCCUUGGUGGAUGGGCAUUCCAUAUGUCUACAUGGUGUUCUCUCACCAUUGAUAGAAACACUGGAUCACAUCAGAGCACUUGAUCUCCAGGAAGUUCCCCUUCAGGGUCUGUGACUUGCUGUGGUCAGAUCCAGAUGAUGGUAGUGGUUGGGGUAUAUUUCCCUGAGGAGCUGGUUUCACCUUUGGGCAGGAUAUUUCUGAGACAUUUAAUCAUGCCAAUAAAUGGUCUGACAUUGGUGUGGCAUAAGUUGGUGAUGGAGAGAUAAAACUGGUGCCAUGACCAGAAUGUAGUAACAAAUUUCAGUGCUACUAACUAUUGUUAUCUUUGUGGUAACCAAUUUGCAAUCAUGAAACUUAAUGGCACUCUAAAAUAUUCUUUCUUCAAAUUUGACCCAGCACUUUCUAGAGGUGAGCUACAUAUGAUAUGUCAUACCCCAGAUUACUUCCAUGGUAUCUCAAGUUUCAGAGUGCACAUCUAUGUUUAG
Molecule: RNA transcript, 930 nt
Organism: Dipodomys spectabilis (banner-tailed kangaroo rat)
Lineage: Eukaryota; Metazoa; Chordata; Mammalia; Rodentia; Heteromyidae
Gene name: serine/threonine-protein phosphatase 2A catalytic subunit alpha isoform-like
Exons: 1
Source: RefSeq, a predicted model, not a curated record